This 373-nucleotide ribosomal RNA is filed under the name uncultured bacterium. RNAcentral's name for it is "bacterial SSU rRNA". It matches the Rfam family "Bacterial small subunit ribosomal RNA", at positions 357 to 747 of the family's 1533-position model. The record is from RNAcentral.
GGGAAUAUUGGUAAUGGGCGAAAGCCUGAACCAGCAACGCCGCGUGUGCGAUGAAGGCCUUCGGGUUGUAAAGCACUUUUGACCGGGACGAGGAAGGACGGUACCGGUGGAAUAAGCCUCGGCUAACUACGUGUCAGCAGCCGCGGUAAAACGUAUGAGGCGAGCGUUAUCCGGAUUUACUGGGUGUCAAGCCCUUGUAGGGGGUUAGCUAGGUUGGGUGUGAAAGAGCCUGGCUCAACUGAGUGAGGUCGCUCAAGACUGGCUGACUCGAGGAUGGUAGAGGAAGGUGGAAUUCCGGGUGUAGUGGUGAAAUGCGUAGAUAUCCGGAGGAACACCAGUGGAGAAGGCGGCCUUCUGGACCAUCACUGACGCU